UUGUCUGGCAUCGGGGCAGGAACUC
Molecule: microRNA, 25 nt
Filed under: Eptesicus fuscus (big brown bat)
Lineage: Eukaryota; Metazoa; Chordata; Mammalia; Chiroptera; Vespertilionidae
Description: efu-miR-9234a
Source: miRBase by way of RNAcentral